This 269-nucleotide ribosomal RNA is filed under the name uncultured prokaryote. Its description in RNAcentral is "partial 16S ribosomal RNA". It matches the Rfam family "Bacterial small subunit ribosomal RNA", at positions 524 to 792 of the family's 1533-position model. The record is from RNAcentral.
UACGUAGGUGGCAAGCGUUGUCCGGAUUUAUUGGGCGUAAAGGGAGCGCAGGUGGUUUCUUAAGUCUGAUGUGAAAGCCCACGGCUUAACCGUGGAGGGUCAUUGGAAACUGGGAAACUUGAGUACAGAAGAGGAAUGUGGAACUCCAUGUGUAGCGGUGGAAUGCGUAGAUAUAUGGAAGAACACCAGUGGCGAAGGCGACAUUCUGGUCUGUUACUGACACUGAGGCUCGAAAGCGUGGGGAGCAAACAGGAUUAGAUACCCCUGUA